AGAAUGAUAGAAAGGCAAGUUAACUUACGUACCUACAAAAGAAAAGCAGAGGAGGAAUGUUGUGUAGUCCCAUAGGAAGGUGAAGGACUAGUGGAUGAGCAGUAGACAAGCACAAAGAAUCGUUGGAGUAGCACUAAGGAAUGCAGAGGAGUAAAAGAGGAAGGCAAAGGACUAGCAAAGAUGAAUGAGCGUCAAAGGACUGUUGGAGGAACGCGAAGGAGCAUGAAAGAACCCUGAGAAGAUAAAAAAACCCACUGGUUCAAGAAGAGACAAUCGAGUGUGACAAAGGCAAGGAACAAAGCAACAAUGAAUGUGGGGUGGUAGAUAAUAGGCAACAAAAUUAGGGGUUUUUAGUUCGAAAGAUAGAAUUUUUAACACAUAUGUGGGUUAUGGCUCACCAUAACCUAGCUCAAACCCAUAAAACUUGUGGGUUAAGUGAUCCGAACUUGUUUUAAGUCAUAAUAAAAGAGGAUUUCAAUUUUUCAAUCUGAC
RNAcentral lists this long non-coding RNA (492 nucleotides) under Vigna radiata. Its description in RNAcentral is "long non-coding RNA (VRAD_LNC005213)". The record is from RNAcentral. Lineage: Eukaryota; Viridiplantae; Streptophyta; Magnoliopsida; Fabales; Fabaceae.